CUUCGAAGACGGCCCUCCACCCUGCUCUCCAUCCAAAGUUCGUUGGCUAAAGGCGUACAACAAAGUGAGAGUAAAACUCCAUGAGGGCCGAGAUCAAGAUGGUGACCCCGCCAAGCACCCUUGGGCCAAGCCAGGAGGAAAUGCACCGUUUGGCAUUGACAGCAUGCCAGAUCUCCGCAAGAGGAGGCCCAUUCCUCUUGUUAGUGAACUGG
Molecule: non-coding RNA, 212 nt
Organism: Labrus bergylta (ballan wrasse)
Lineage: Eukaryota; Metazoa; Chordata; Actinopteri; Labriformes; Labridae
Source: RefSeq, a predicted model, not a curated record